GGGGAUGCCACGGCUUUGACGUUGUGAUUGGUAGAUCCGGGUUGCGAGUCCGAGAGCUGUUCUCGGUUAUCAACGGGCAAACUAAAAUGAAAUGACAACAAAGUUGUUUCUCUUGACGCUUACAGAAUGGCAAAAGCUGCCUAACCGCUGCGCGGUUGCGUCCCUCUUAGCCGGCCAGCUUGCCGCUUGCUAAGAUGAAAUAUGCAAGAUGCAGUACUCAAAUGAUGGUAUGAGUAUCAAGUUUUACCAUUGAAGGUUAGGCUUCCGCAAAAAGUCUUUGGCUUAACUUAGGUUAUGUAACUUUCCUUGUUAAUCUGAGCUAAUAAGUUACUACACUCGUAGAUAUCAGUUUUUAUCCGCAUCGGACGCGGGUUCAACUCCCGCCAUCUCCACCA
Molecule: transfer-messenger RNA, 395 nt
Filed under: Candidatus Gastranaerophilaceae
Lineage: Bacteria; Bacillati; Candidatus Melainabacteria; Candidatus Gastranaerophilales
Also listed under: 1 other name
Description: CAG-196 sp902802935 Standard tmRNA
Rfam family: transfer-messenger RNA
About the family: Bacterial tmRNA, also known as 10Sa RNA or SsrA, is named for its dual tRNA and mRNA-like properties. Its role is to liberate the mRNA from a stalled ribosome.
Source: RNAcentral